UAAUAAGAGUGUUUUAUGGCACUUUUCAAACAAAUCCAUAUCCACCUUGUGUGCAAUGUUUUUUUUUUUUAAAUAAACACUUUAUUUUUUAAUUGCCAAUUUAUCUGAAGAUCAGUAUUACUAUGAAUUAACUUAAUUCAAAAUA
This 145-nucleotide unclassified non-coding RNA is filed under the name soil metagenome. RNAcentral's name for it is "partial internal transcribed spacer 1". The record is from RNAcentral.